Molecule: unclassified non-coding RNA, 279 nt
Filed under: plant metagenome
Description: partial contains small subunit ribosomal RNA, internal transcribed spacer 1, and 5.8S ribosomal RNA
Source: RNAcentral
UUUCCGUAGGUGAACCUGCGGAAGGAUCAUUCAUAAUAUUUUGUUUUAUGGCCCUUUUUAAAAAUCUAUAUCCACCUUGUGUGCAAUUUUAGAUCUCUUCUAUUUUGGCGACAUUUUUAUACAACUAGUCAGUCGGUAACUAAUUUGUCUGAAAAUUAUUAUUAAUACUUAAUUGUAAAUAUAACUUUCAACAACGUAUAUCUUGCCUAUCGCAUCGAUGACUAACGCAGCAGAUCGGAUGAGCACACGCCUGAACUCCAAACACAAUUCGUCGGAUCG